ACUAUAGCUUGACACUGAACAUUGAGCCUUGAUGUGUAGGAUAGGUGGGAGGCUUUGAAGUGUGGACGCCAGUCUGCAUGGAGCCGGCCUUGAAAUACCACCCUUUAAUGUUUGAUGUUCUAACGUUGACCCGUGAUCCGGGUUGCGGACAGUGUCUGGUGGGUAGUUUGACUGGGGCGGUCUCCUCCUAAAGAGUAACGGAGGAGCACGAAGGUUGGCUAAUCCUGGUCGGACAUCAGGAGGUUAGUGCAAUGGCAUAAGCCAGCUUGACUGCGAGCGUGACGGCGCGAGCAGGUGCGAAAGCAGGUCAUAGUGAUCCGGUGGUUCUGAAUGGAAGGGCCAUCGCUCAACGGAUAAAAGGUACUCCGGGGAUAACAGGCUGAUACCGCCCAAGAGUUCAUAUCGACGGCGGUGUUUGGCACCUCGAUGUCGGCUCAUCACAUCCUGGGGCUGAAGUAGGUCCCAAGGGUAUGGCUGUUCGCCAUUUAAAGUGGUACGCGAGCUGGGUUUAGAACGUCGUGAGACAGUUCGGUCCCUAUCUGCCGUGGGCGCUGGAGAACUGAGGGGGGCUGCUCCUAGUACGAGAGGACCGGAGUGGACGCAUCACUGGUGUUCGGGUUGUCAUGCCAAUGGCACUGCCCGGUAGCUAAAUGCGGAAGAGAUAAGUGCUGAAAGCAUC
RNAcentral lists this ribosomal RNA (679 nucleotides) under Escherichia coli. Its description in RNAcentral is "partial 23S ribosomal RNA". It matches the Rfam family "Bacterial large subunit ribosomal RNA", at positions 2103 to 2781 of the family's 2925-position model. The record is from RNAcentral. Lineage: Bacteria; Pseudomonadati; Pseudomonadota; Gammaproteobacteria; Enterobacterales; Enterobacteriaceae.